RNAcentral lists this ribosomal RNA (341 nucleotides) under uncultured Pseudomonadota bacterium. Its description in RNAcentral is "bacterial SSU rRNA". It matches the Rfam family "Bacterial small subunit ribosomal RNA", at positions 29 to 351 of the family's 1533-position model. The record is from RNAcentral. Lineage: Bacteria; Pseudomonadati; Pseudomonadota.
AACGAACGCUGGCGGCGUGCCUAACACAUGCAAGUCGAGCGUGAAAGUUCCUUCGGGAAUGAGUAAAGCGGCAGACGGGUGAGUAAUACAUAGGUAAUCUACCUUCGAGCUUGGGAUAACCCCGCGAAAGUGGGGCUAAUACCGGAUAAGACCACGUGGCUUAAGUCGCGCGGUCAAAGGUGGCUUUUUCUUCGGAUUGAGCUAUCACUUGAGGAUGAGCCUAUGGCCUAUCAGCUUGUUGGCGGGGUAAAAGCCCACCAAGGCUAUGACGGGUAGUUGGUCUGAGAGGACGACCAACCACACUGGGACUGAGACACGGCCCAGACUCCUACGGGUGGCUG